GCAGUUCCGCUCUAUUCCUUGUUUACUGAGAGUUUUUAUCAUGAACUGAUGUUGGAUUUUAUCAAAUGCGUUUUCUGGAUCCAUUGAUAUGAUCAGGUUUUCAGGUGCUGGUCUCAUGGCUCUUCCCCAGUUCAAAAUAAGAAAACUCUACAGAUACUCUGUCCACUAGAACCCAUUCCCAUCUACCCCCCACUCUGUCCAGCAACCAAAACUGAUAUCAGAGAGGAGGCAUAUGGAUGUGAUCUGUGCAGAGAAGAUAACAAGGGUGCUAUGCAGCUGUAGCCGCACAUGGCUUGGGAUGACUGUAUUAUGACAGGUAUAGAAUGUUUCAUUAUCUUGGAGGGUUCUACCGGACAGUGUUACAGUUAGUGUCCAUACUCACAGAGAAGUCCUUGCCUCUCCAUUACAAACUCUGGCUAACCCAUCUGCGUGUGUGUAUCUUGAGGUAAAAUGAUAUUUUUCAUGCAUGUAUUGUUUUAACGUAGCACUUGAACCUGGAGGACGUUAUGCUGAAUAAAAUAAGCCAGGCACAGAAACGCAAGUAUCACAUCAUCUCACUUAUAGGUAGAAUUUUGAAAAAUUAAAUUCAUAGAAGUAGAGAGUAGAAGGGUAUACCAGAGACUGGUUAGGGAAAGGAGAAGAAGAAAUGAAGAGAUAGUGGUGAAAGUGUGCAAAGUGUCAUUUACACAGGAGGAGUAAGUUUUUGAGAUUUAUUGCACAGUAUCAUUGCUAUAGUUAAUAUAAAUAGUAUAUUUCAAAUUGCUGAGAGAGCAAAUUUAAAUGUCUUACCAUAAACAUGAUAAUUAAUUGAGUUAAUGGAUAUGUUAGUUAUCUUGCUUUAAUCACUUCAUAUUGAAUAAAUGUAUCAAAACAUUAUAUUGUACCCCAUAAAUAUUUACAAUUAUGAGUUGCCAUUUAAAAAUAUUAU
This is a long non-coding RNA of Cebus imitator (Panamanian white-faced capuchin), 928 nucleotides long. RefSeq lists it as uncharacterized. The transcript has 3 exons. The record is from RefSeq and is a predicted model, not a curated record. Lineage: Eukaryota; Metazoa; Chordata; Mammalia; Primates; Cebidae.